AAACCAGCACCUCAAGUGGUCAGGAUGAUUAUUGGGCCUAAAGCAUCCGUAGCCGGCGCUGUAAGUUUUCGUUUAAAUCUGUACGCUUAACGUACAGGCUGCUGGGAAUACUGCAAUGCUAGGGAGUGGGAGAGGUAGACGGUACUCGGGAGGAAGUGGUAAAAUGCUUUGAUCUCUCGAUGAACACCUGUGGCGAAGGCGGUCUACCAGAACACGUCCGACGGUGAGGGAUGAAAGCUGGGGGAGCAAACCGGAUUAGAAACCCCGGUAGUCC
RNAcentral lists this ribosomal RNA (274 nucleotides) under uncultured bacterium. RNAcentral describes it as "partial 16S ribosomal RNA". It matches the Rfam family "Archaeal small subunit ribosomal RNA", at positions 473 to 747 of the family's 1478-position model. The record is from RNAcentral.